This 76-nucleotide transfer RNA is filed under the name Synechococcus phage S-PM2. RNAcentral describes it as "tRNA12-Trp;". It matches the Rfam family "tRNA". From Rfam's summary of the family: Transfer RNA (tRNA) molecules are approximately 80 nucleotides in length. The record is from RNAcentral. Lineage: Duplodnaviria; Heunggongvirae; Uroviricota; Caudoviricetes; Pantevenvirales; Kyanoviridae.
AGUUGGGUUGGUCUAAUGGUAAGAUGCAGGUCUCCAAAACCUUGCGAUGGGGGUUCAAAUCCCUCACCCUUCGCCG